UAACAAACAAACCUAAACACCCAAGGAUUCUACAUCAACCCUGAUACCGCUUGUCAAACAAUUCCAUUACAAGUAGGACACUCUUUAUAAAUAGAAAUUCCCUUGGAUAAAAACAUCCAACCAACACAAUCCUACUAGGAGUACACUACCUACCCCUAUAAAAGCAGAACCUUGGGCCAUUAUUCAGGUACGUUUUUCAUUGUUCUUCAGCACAUAGCCUCACGCUUAUAUUUCCCUUUCUGACUUAAGCAUCGGAGGGACGACGAGAACAUACCUCGUUGCCUUUGUUUCAGGUACCGGAAGAUCGCUAUCGUGAUCAACCCGAAUCAUCAAGCUCGGAAAAUCAGCAGGUACGAUUUUUGGUAUCAUCAUUGGCGUCGUCUGUGGGAGACGCUACCAAAAGCCAUGGUAAACACACGUUCAGGUCUUCCACCAGCAAGCUCAUCCGCUCCAAACCAACCCCCUCCUGAGGAUAUCCCUGUUCCUCAAGAGGAAUCAUCAGAAGUGCCAGAGCCCCAGCCGGCAGUCGUCACUGCUGGAGCCUUUGAAGAACUCAGACAACA
This 563-nucleotide long non-coding RNA is filed under the name Olea europaea (common olive). RNAcentral's name for it is "long non-coding RNA (OEUR_LNC000401)". The record is from RNAcentral. Lineage: Eukaryota; Viridiplantae; Streptophyta; Magnoliopsida; Lamiales; Oleaceae.